AAACCAACAGGGAUUGCCUCAGUAACGGCGAGUGAAGCGGCAAGAGCUCAAAUUUGAAAGCUGGCUCCUUCGGGGUCCGCAUUGUAAUUUGCAGAGGAUGCUUCGGGAGCGGCCCCCAUCUAAGUGCCCUGGAACGGGCCGUCAUAGAGGGUGAGAAUCCCGUAUGGGAUGGGGUGCCCGCGACCAUGUGAAGCUCCUUCGACGAGUCGAGUUGUUUGGGAAUGCAGCUCUAAAUGGGUGGUAAAUUUCAUCUAAAGCUAAAUAUUGGCCGGAGACCGAUAGCGCACAAGUAGAGUGAUCGAAAGAUGAAAAGCACUUUGAAAAGAGAGUUAAAAAGCACGUGAAAUUGUUGAAAGGGAAGCGCUUGCGACCAGACUCGCCCGCGGGGUUCAGCCGGUAUUCGUACCGGUGUACUUCCCCGUGGGCGGGCCAGCGUCGGUUUGGGCGGCCGGUCAAAGGCCCUCGGAAUGUAACGCCUCUCGGGGCGUCUUAUAGCCGAGGGUGCCAUGCGGCCAGCCCGGACCGAGGAACGCGCUUCGGCACGGACGCUGGCAUAAUGGUCGUAAGCGAC
Molecule: ribosomal RNA, 571 nt
Filed under: Penicillium sp. PG33-2
Lineage: Eukaryota; Fungi; Ascomycota; Eurotiomycetes; Eurotiales; Aspergillaceae
Description: eukaryotic LSU rRNA
Rfam family: Eukaryotic large subunit ribosomal RNA
Source: RNAcentral